Molecule: long non-coding RNA, 1782 nt
Organism: Oncorhynchus nerka (sockeye salmon)
Lineage: Eukaryota; Metazoa; Chordata; Actinopteri; Salmoniformes; Salmonidae
Exons: 2
Source: RefSeq, a predicted model, not a curated record
UGCUACACUGUGUGAGAGAUACAGCUAAACUGGGGCCCAAUGCCUUCUACAAGGGUCUGGUUCCAGCAGGGAUCCGUCUCAUCCCUCACACGGUCCUCACGUUCAUCUUCCUGGAGCAGCUCAGAACCUGCUGCGGCAUCAGGAUCGUCACCUGAGAGGGGUCAGGGGUCACCACCUGAUCACCUAUUGAGUAGUCUGAAAUGUGACCUCUGCGUCAGGACUGCCAGGCCACGCCCAUUCCCUUUGUUCCCUGUUCUAUGUGAGCAGGAAACUUUAAUCCACCUGCAACCUCCCCCAUCCUAAACCCCACCUUCUGGAUACAGACUAGUGACUGACUGAAUGGGGGGUUCUGGAUACAGACUAGUGACUGACUGAAUGGGGGGUUCUGGAUACAGACUAGUGACUGACUGAAUGGGGGGUUCUGGAUACAGACUAGUGACUGACUGAAUGGGGGGUUCUGGAUACAGACUAGUGACUGACUGAAUGGGGGGUUCUGGAUACAGACUAGUGACUGACUGAAUGGGGGGUUCUGGAUACAGACUAGUGACUGACUGAAUGGGGGUUCUGGAUACAGACUAGUGACUGACUGAAGAAGGGGUUCUGGAUACAGACUAGUGACUGACUGAAUGGGGGGUUCUGGAUACAGACUAGUGACUGACUGAAUGGGGGUUCUGGAUACAGACUAGUGACUGACUGAAGGGGGGGUUCUGGAUACAGACUAGUGACUGACUGAAGGAGGAGGAGGGGGUUCUGGAUACAGACUAGUGACUGACUGAAUGGGGGGUUCUGGAUACAGACUAGUGACUGACUGACGGGUGGGGUUCUGGAUACAGACUAGUGACUGACUGAAGGGGGGGUUCUGGAUACAGCCUAGUUACUGACUGAAGGGGGGGUUCUGGAUACAGACUAGUGACUGACUGAAGGAGGGGUUCUGGAUACAGACUAGUGACUGACUGAAUGGGGGGUUCUGGAUACAGCCUAGUGACUGACUGAAUGGGGGGUUCUGGAUACAGACUAGUGACUGACUGAAGGGGGGUUCUGGAUACAGACUAGUGACUGACUGAAUGGGGGUUCUGGAUACAGACUAGUGACUGACUGAAUGGGGGGGUUCUGGAUACAGACUAGUGACUGACUGAAGGGGGGGUUCUGGAUACAGACUAGUGACUGACUGAAGGAGGGGUUCUGGAUACAGACUAGUGACUGACUGAAGGAGGAGGGGGGUUUGGAUACAGACUAGUGACUGGGGGGGGGGGGGGGGGUUCUGGAUACAGCCUACUGACUGACUGAAGGGGGGGUUCUGGAUAUAGUGGAAUACAUUUGACCAGAGCCCAGUGCACUAUAGAGGGAAUAGACUGCCAUUUGGGACACCGAUUUAAGUAAUCCAUCUGAACUUGGAACAGCCUCUGUAGAAUGAACCUUGACCCACAUGUCUUUAGUUAUGUUAAUGGCUGCUAGAGGGCGCUGUUACACUGUGGUUAUGAUGUAGGCGUACUCUGCAGACGGCCACGGCCGCUGUACCAGGUCUUAACGUGUAUAAGUGGGUUGGUUGUAUGGGAGCGUGCCACUUAAUGUGGAGGUUAUUGUUAUUCACGCCACCGCUGAAGGUCCAGAUGUUUUUUUGUAUUGUAGAUGACAUAUUUUACAUUGAUGAUGGCUACUUCCUGUUUCAUUGACUGUCAAAACGAAUGUUUCAUUGGGCUAAUGAAUGGACUGAUGAAUAAAUUAUUACCUGUAUAGUGAUCAAUACCAAUAUGUCCAUAAAUAUGCUUGUUACAGAGAUGA